This 468-nucleotide ribosomal RNA is filed under the name uncultured bacterium. RNAcentral's name for it is "partial 16S ribosomal RNA". It matches the Rfam family "Bacterial small subunit ribosomal RNA", at positions 28 to 507 of the family's 1533-position model. The record is from RNAcentral.
GAUGAACGCUGGCGGCGUGCUUAACACAUGCCAGUCGAACGGAAAGGCCCUGCUUUUGUGGGGUGCUCGAGUGGCGAACGUAUGAGUAACACGUGAGUAACCUGCCCUGGACUAUGAGAUAACUUCAGGAAACUGGGGCUAAUACCGGAUAGGAGCUCCUGCUGCUUGGUGGUGGUUGGAAAGUUUCGGCGGUUGGGGAUGGACGCGCGGCUUAUCAGCUUGUUGGUGGGGUAGUGGCAUAGCAAGGCUUUGGCGGGUAGCCGGCCUGGGAGGGUGACCGGCCACACUAGGCCUGAGCUGCGACACAGACUAGUCCGGGACGCAGCGGAGGAGAGUAGUGUACAACAGACGGAAGGAUGAUGCAGCAGCGCAGCGUGGGGGAUGGCGGCAUGCGGGUUGUAAAGCAAUUUGGUCUGUGAAGAGGCGUGAGUGACGGUAACGGGUAAAGAAGCACCGGCUAACUACGUG